This 116-nucleotide ribozyme is filed under the name Aedes aegypti (yellow fever mosquito). RNAcentral describes it as "drz-agam-1 ribozyme". It matches the Rfam family "drz-agam-1 ribozyme". Lineage: Eukaryota; Metazoa; Arthropoda; Insecta; Diptera; Culicidae. The record is from Rfam by way of RNAcentral.
UGCCCAGCAACUCCUAUCUCUACCUCCUCACGGUACUGGCCGGGGUACGAGUAAUUUUAAGGAAGAUUGGGUUAUCAACCCCGGUGGGAACUCUGAUCGUAUGCUGACAGGGAAGG